This 292-nucleotide ribosomal RNA is filed under the name uncultured bacterium. Its description in RNAcentral is "partial 16S ribosomal RNA". It matches the Rfam family "Bacterial small subunit ribosomal RNA", at positions 505 to 796 of the family's 1533-position model. The record is from RNAcentral.
GUGUCAGCCGCCGCGGUAAUACAGAGGAGGCAAGCGUUGUUCGGAAUCACUGGGCUUAAAGCGCGUGUAGGCGGCGCGGUAAGUGUUCUGUGAAAUCCCACGGCUCACCCGUGGAACUGCAGGGCAUACUGCCGUGCUUGAGGCAGGUAGGGGCCACUGGAACUCUCGGUGGAACGGUGAAAUGUGUAGAUAUCGAGAGGAACGCCCGAGGCGAAAGCGGGUGGCUAGGCCUGUCCUGACGCUGAGACGCGAAAGCGUGGGGAGCAAACGGGAUUAGAAACCCCUGUAGUCC